AGUGAGGAAUAUUGGUCAAUGGGCGCAAGCCUGAACCAGCCAUCCCGCGUGAAGGAAGACGGCCCUAUGGGUUGUAAACUUCUUUUGUACAUGAAGAACGUCUCUUACGUGUAAGAGAGUGACGGUAAUGUACGAAUAAGAAUCGGCUAACUCCGUGCCAGCAGCCGCGGUAAUACGGAGGAUGCAAGCGUUAUCCGGAUUUAUUGGGUUUAAAGGGUACGUAGGUGGCCAGUUAAGUCAGUGGUGAAAACCUGUCGCUCAACGAUAGGCGUGCCAUUGAAACUGAUUGGCUUGAGUACAGAUGAGGUAAGCGGAAUGUGUAGUGUAGCGGUGAAAUGCAUAGAUAUUACACAGAACUCCGAUUGCGAAGGCAGCUUACUAAACUGACACUGACGCUGAGGUACGAAAGCGUGGGUAGCGAACAGGAUUAGAUACCCUGGUAGUCCACGCUGUAAACGAUGCUCACUCGCUGUAUGCGAUACACAGUAUGCGGCCAAGCGAAAGCGAUAAGUGAGCCACCUGGGGAGUACGCCGGCAACGGUG
This 543-nucleotide ribosomal RNA is filed under the name uncultured bacterium. RNAcentral describes it as "bacterial SSU rRNA". It matches the Rfam family "Bacterial small subunit ribosomal RNA", at positions 353 to 896 of the family's 1533-position model. The record is from RNAcentral.